RNAcentral lists this long non-coding RNA (199 nucleotides) under Elaeis guineensis (African oil palm). RNAcentral's name for it is "long non-coding RNA (EGUI_LNC079671)". The record is from RNAcentral. Lineage: Eukaryota; Viridiplantae; Streptophyta; Magnoliopsida; Arecales; Arecaceae.
AGGGACCCAAUAAUGGCUUUGCACAUGCUUGUGAAUGGUGGGUCUGGCUUAACUAAGAAGUACGGACAAUAACUGUUAGGUGAGUUUACAUGAUUUAGAGACCAAGUGGCUGCAACAUGCUUAGAGAAGCAUCUGGAUAAAGAGUUGUCCAUGCAUCGAUGUUUAUUUGUAUUAUCAAUAACUGUUAGGUGAGGUGCAC